GAGAUCGUACUUCUAGGGAUCAGUCCUAUAGUACGUAUCACCAGGACGUCAAACAAACUUGACCCUGGCCAACCAACCGCGAUGAUGAACAGUGCGGCCUGGUCCUGAGCGUGAAGCGGGUGUGUGGCUGUCCGUCUGGCUGGCUUCUCACGAAGUCUGUUCGUGCGGACUCGGCCGCCUCCUUGU
Non-coding RNA from Schistosoma margrebowiei, 186 nucleotides. NCBI's taxonomy places the organism in Eukaryota, Metazoa, Platyhelminthes, Trematoda, Strigeidida, Schistosomatidae. The record is from Rfam.